This 430-nucleotide ribosomal RNA is filed under the name uncultured Streptococcus sp. RNAcentral's name for it is "bacterial SSU rRNA". It matches the Rfam family "Bacterial small subunit ribosomal RNA", at positions 354 to 776 of the family's 1533-position model. Lineage: Bacteria; Bacillati; Bacillota; Bacilli; Lactobacillales; Streptococcaceae. The record is from RNAcentral.
GUAGGGAAUCUUCGGCAAUGGGGGCAACCCUGACCGAGCAACGCCGCGUGAGUGAAGAAGGUUUUCGGAUCGUAAAGCUCUGUUGUAAGUCAAGAACGAGUGUGAGAGUGGAAAGUUCACACUGUGACGGUAGCUUACCAGAAAGGGACGGCUAACUACGUGCCAGCAGCCGCGGUAAUACGUAGGUCCCGAGCGUUGUCCGGAUUUAUUGGGCGUAAAGCGAGCGCAGGCGGUUUGAUAAGUCUGAAGUUAAAGGCUGUGGCUCAACCAUAGUUCGCUUUGGAAACUGUCAAACUUGAGUGCAGAAGGGGAGAGUGGAAUUCCAUGUGUAGCGGUGAAAUGCGUAGAUAUAUGGAGGAACACCGGUGGCGAAAGCGGCUCUCUGGUCUGUAACUGACGCUGAGGCUCGAAAGCGUGGGGAGCGAACAGG